RNAcentral lists this ribosomal RNA (253 nucleotides) under uncultured bacterium. RNAcentral's name for it is "partial 16S ribosomal RNA". It matches the Rfam family "Bacterial small subunit ribosomal RNA", at positions 524 to 776 of the family's 1533-position model. The record is from RNAcentral.
UACAUGGGGUGCAAACGUUGCUCGGAAUCAUUAGGCGUAAAGCGCGCGUAGGCGGUUACUUAAGUUGGAUGUGAAAGCCCUCGGCUUAACUGAGGAAGUGCAUCCAAAACUGAGUAGCUAGAGUACGAAAGAGGGUCGCGGAAUUCCCGGUGUAGAGGUGAAAUUCGUAGAUAUCGGGAGGAACACCGGUGGCGAAGGCGGCGACCUGGGUCGAGACUGACGCUGAGGCGCGAAAGCGUGGGGAGCAAACAGG